This is a long non-coding RNA of Canis lupus familiaris (dog), 3236 nucleotides long. RefSeq lists it as uncharacterized. Lineage: Eukaryota; Metazoa; Chordata; Mammalia; Carnivora; Canidae. The transcript is spliced from 3 exons. The record is from RefSeq and is a predicted model, not a curated record.
CGUUCAAGGCCCCGCCCGGUGUUGCCAAACCUGGACAUGAGGGGGAAACUGAGUCACGGGGGAAACUGAGUGUAGAGGUCGGUGGGGCGGGUUAUCAGGUGUGAUCACCCCCCAGCCCUCUUACAGCCGUAUUUAUUGCAUGACUGCUGUAUGCCAAGGAUGGGACAUAGCUGAGUGCGAGGCGAUCCCCAUGGCGGCUCCCCUCAACUCACAUUUGGGAAACAAAAUCAAGAGAGGCUAAAGGUUAGGGCCUCCACCCCCCGCUCUGCUUAAGUCAGGCUGACUGGCCCUCCACUCCUUACUCAGCUGCUUCAAAAUGGGGCGAAUGAUAUCCUUCUGUGCCUCAGUUUCCUCCCCUGCACAAUGGCGGUAAUAAGUACCAUUGUUAAUGGUUAUCAUUAUUACAGGAAAAUGGGGCUCAAGUGAGAGCAGAGACUCUCAGUUUCCCUGCCCAGGUCUAGAGAGUUGCAAGUGGCUCUGGGAGCAGAUUUAUGGUCUUCUCUCUCCCUGGUUCACUGGCUAGUGAGUGGGGGGUGGGGGCAGCCUGGCUGGGAGCCCAGUCAGUUUCCCAAUCUGUGUAGUGGGCUGUGUGGGAGCCCAUCCUCAGCAGGGGAGUGCACAAAUUAAAGAGCUCCAGCUGGAGGAGAUCUGUGGGGGGUGGCCAGGGCUUCUGUUAGUGGAGACUUCGCCAUACCUUCCGAGCUCUGCUCCAGCUGCUGUGGGAACAGCUUGUAAUAAAAAUAAAAAUUACUGCUAAUCAGGAAAAUCGUCCCUCCCAGCCCAGCCUUGCUCUUGAGCUACAAAACACCUCAACUUUCUGGAGUUAACCCUCUCCACCCCACCCUCCAAGUGCUUAAAGACUCUAUUGUACAGAUCAGGAAACUAAGGCCCAGUAAAGGGAAGUGGCUAGCCUAAGGCCACUGCAAGGGGCAUGAGUGAAGUCAGAGUAGGAUCAUAGCCAGAUCCGUUCUCUUGGGAGGCUGCAGAGAAGUCACUGAGGGUUUCCUGGAGGAGGUGGAAAGAAAGCCUGAAGGAAAGAAAGGACUCAGAUCAGCAGGGGAAAGGCUGGACUCCUGACAUAGGAUGAAGAAGCCAGACUGGACUCCUCCCUCCACAGGAGCCCAGAGGCAUGAACUUCCAAAUAAUCCAAGAGUCAUGAGCCCACAGAACAAGGAGACACAGAACUAAGGAAUGACAAAGUCAUAGUGUCAUGGGUCAGUGGGGACAUGGGCCCACAGUAUGCUAAAACCACAGGACUGUGGCAUCCUAGAGCCGCAGGAUCAUGGUGUCACAGAGCCACAGACCCAGGGUGAUGUGGCUGCCCGUCAGUGGAAGCUCAGAGCUGUAACGGUGGAAGCCACAGGACUCCAGGGAGGCUGAGGCAUGGCACGGGGGCAUCCCACAUCUGAGGUGCCACAGGAGGGAGUCUCCGAGUUGACCCCAACAGAACCACUCUCUUGGCCAUACCCUCGGCCGGCCGGCCAGGGAGGCUCCUGGAGGCCAUGGGAGCUAUGAGGUGCUCUCUUCCCUCAACUCUGGAGCAGCCACGGAGCAAAGGACCACGCCAUUUGCUGACGCCCGGAGCCCGACAACCGCCAAGCACUCACUGAGUCCCUGUGCCAGGGCCAAGUGAGGCUGUCCAGGUGCCUGGAAACAGUGCCAGCCUCCGGCCAGGCGCGCCGGGACGCUGAGUGCUCAGCAGCAAGUGGAAAAAGAAUCAACGAGUUACUUCUAUAUCCAUAUCCUUCUGGAAGCCAAUAGCAACACGGCACAGAGGGGCGGCUAGAGCCUGGCCACAUCCCUCUCUGGCCGGGGCAGUAAACCGGGUAGCUGUCCGCCCCCCUUGCUCCCCAGCACCCGUCGCUGGCCACACCAGUACUCCUAGUCCAGCUCAGAUUCCACCAGACACAUCCGCGUAUUAAUGAGCUCUCCUGAGACAGCAACUGUUCACCCAGCAGACCCUGCACCUGACCCCCAGAAAAACCAGUCUGUUUUGGAGAGGAGAAGCUGAGGCCCAGAAAGGGAGACUGCUGGCCCAGGAUCACGGAGGGCAAGAGCCAAGGCUUGAACCCCACCUUAUCAGAUGCUAAGCAUGAGCUCAUCAGCACCUGCCAGGCUGCCUCUCGGGGCCCCAGCCACCUUCCUCCUGAGGCCCCAACAGUUUGCUUCCAGAGGUGGCACAGCAUGGAAGGCAGGAACAUACCCUGGCAAUUUCUUCCCUUUGCUGAGCUCAGGACAUCUUGUUCACAGGCCUGUGAUGGGCAGUGAAACGUCAUCCUAGUGAGUGCAAACUGGGAGCUGCUGUUGCUGGCGUGGAGAGAGCUUGCCCCCCUCUCAUCUUACAGAUGGGACAGCAGUGGGCCAGGGAGUGAGGUUUGGACCUUCCUCAGACCCCCAGCACCUUUGGUGAGGAUCUUCCCAUCAUGAUGGGAACAUGGGCGAGAACAAACAUAGCUGACUUUCUGAAAUGCCAAAUUAGAGGGAGCGGAAGCCCAUCUCUGAAGGGCUGCCUUUAGGCAUGGCUGGACCCAGAGCCCCAAAUGAAGCCUCCAGGAUCUGUGUCUCUGUCAGCUGUCUUCUUCCUUUAAAAAAAGAAGGGCAGCCCCAGUGGCACAGAGGUUUAGUGCCGCCUGCGGCCCAGGGCCUGAUCCUGGAGACCUGGGAUCGAGUCCCAUGUCGGGCUCCCUGCAUGGAGUCUGCCUGUGUCUCUGCCUCUCUCUCUCUCUCUCUCUCUGGGUCUCUGUGAAUAAAUAAAUAAAUUCUUUAAAAAUAAAUAAAUAAAAAAAGAAAAAGAAGAACCAACAAAUUUGUGGUAAAAUACGCAGGACAUAAAAUUUAUCAUUUCAACAAUUUUAAACUGUUCAAUUUAGUGUUUUUUAUUGUGUUCAUGAUGCCUUGCAAUAAUCUCUUCUAUCUCAAAACAUGUUCAUCUCCUCCCAAAAGGAAACCUGGUCCCUAUUAGCAGGCACUCUCUGUCCCCUCCCCCAGCCCCUGGCAGCCACUAAUCUGUUUUCUGUCUCUACGGAUUUGCCUGUUCUAGACAUUUCAUAUAAACAGAGCCAUACAACAUGUGUCCUUUUGCAUCUGGCUUCUCUCACGGAGUGUGUCCUCAAGGUUCAUCCACGUUGCAGCUUGUAUCAGAGCUUCGUUCCUUUUUAUGCCUAAAGAGCAUUUUAUUUUACGCAUGUGCCGCGUUUCGUUUAUCUGUUCUCCAGUCGAUGGACAUCUGGGUUGUU